GCCUUCGUGGUGUAGUGGUCAGCACGCUCGACCCGAAUUCGAGAGGUCCGUGGUUGAAUCCCGGCGAGGGCG
RNAcentral lists this transfer RNA (72 nucleotides) under Stegodyphus dumicola. RNAcentral describes it as "tRNA-Ser". It matches the Rfam family "tRNA". Rfam says of the family: Transfer RNA (tRNA) molecules are approximately 80 nucleotides in length. Their secondary structure includes four short double-helical elements and three loops (D, anti-codon, and T loops). The record is from RNAcentral. Lineage: Eukaryota; Metazoa; Arthropoda; Arachnida; Araneae; Eresidae.